AGUUGGACGGUCUAAAACAUAUACGCCUACUGCAGAUGAUAUUGGUCACGCGCUUAAAUUCGAAUGUGUUGUUGUAGAUGCAGAAACAAAAUUACCUGUUGGGCCUUCUAGUACCAUAUUGACGUCCCGAGUGAUUCCAGCUCCAUGUCCAACUCCACGUCGCAUGUUUUCAGUUAGCGGAGUUGAUAUUCCUGGUCAUCUGGAUUUGGAUGGUCGAUUAUCAUCUUCAGGAACUUUCACUGUGCUCUCCUACAAUAUUCUGUCUGAUGCCUAUGCUACAAACGAAUUAUACAGUUAUUGCCCCUCUUGGGCUCUUUCUUGGGCAUAUCGUAGACAGAAUCUUUUGCGCGAAAUAGUUGGCUACCGUGCAGACAUUGUUUGUCUUCAAGAGGUUCAAAGUAAUCAUUUUGAGGAAUUCUUUGCCCCUGAGCUGGAUAAACAUGGUUAUCAAGCUCUGUUCAAAAGAAAAACAGCCGAGGUGUUUAGUGGGAGUAUCAACAAUAUUGAUGGCUGUGCUACAUUUUUCCGCCGAGAUAGAUUCUCACAUGUUAAAAAAUAUGAGGUUGAGUUUAAU
This 574-nucleotide unclassified non-coding RNA is filed under the name Hevea brasiliensis (rubber tree). Lineage: Eukaryota; Viridiplantae; Streptophyta; Magnoliopsida; Malpighiales; Euphorbiaceae. The record is from RNAcentral.